This 253-nucleotide ribosomal RNA is filed under the name uncultured bacterium. Its description in RNAcentral is "partial 16S ribosomal RNA". It matches the Rfam family "Bacterial small subunit ribosomal RNA", at positions 524 to 776 of the family's 1533-position model. The record is from RNAcentral.
UACGAAGGGGGCUAGCGGUGUUCGGAAUUACUGGGCGUAAAGCGUGCGCAGGCGGCUUCUCAAGUCAGGGGUGAAAGCCCAGAGCUCAACUCUGGAAUUGCCUUUGAGACUGAGUGGCUUGAGUACGAGAGAGGUGAGUGGAAUUCCCAGUGUAGAGGUGAAAUUCGUAGAUAUUGGGAAGAACACCGGUGGCGAAGGCGGCUCACUGGCUCGUAACUGACGCUCAUGCACGACAGCGUGGGGAUCAAACAGG